This 617-nucleotide ribosomal RNA is filed under the name uncultured Verrucomicrobiota bacterium. Its description in RNAcentral is "bacterial SSU rRNA". It matches the Rfam family "Bacterial small subunit ribosomal RNA", at positions 73 to 681 of the family's 1533-position model. The record is from RNAcentral. Lineage: Bacteria; Pseudomonadati; Verrucomicrobiota.
UCCGGAGCAAUUCGGGAUUAGGCGAGUGGCGAACGGGUGCGUAACACGUGAGUCAUCUGCCUGAAAGUGGGGGAUAGCUCGCCGAAAGGCGAAUUAAUACCGCAUGUGUCCCGAAGCAAUUCGGGGUAAAGCCGGGGCAACCUGGCGCUUUUAGAGGAACUCGCGGCCUAUCAGCUUGUUGGUAAGGUAACGGCUUACCAAGGCUUCGACGGGUAGCUGGUCUGAGAGGACGACCAGCCACACUGGAACUGAGACACGGUCCAGACACCUACGGGGGGCAGCAGUCGAGAAUUUUUCUCAAUGGGGGGAACCCUGAAGGAGCGACGCCGCGUGGAGGAUGAAGGCUUUCGGGUUGUAAACUCCUGUCAUUUGGGAACAAAGCCUUACGUUAACUGCGUGGAGGUUUGAUAGUACCGAAAGAGGAAGAGACGGCUAACUCUGUGCCAGCAGCCGCGGUAAUACAGAGGUCUCAAGCGUUGUUCGGAUUCAUUGGGCGUAAAGGGCGCGUAGGCUGCGGGGCAAGUCGGGUGUGAAAUCUCAGGGCUCAACCCUGAAACUGCACUCGAUACUGUUCUGCUUGAGGACUGGAGAGGAGACUGGAAUUCACGGUGUAGCAA